AGAGUUUGAUCAUGGCUCAGAUUGAACGCUGGCGGCAGGCCUAACACAUGCAAGUCGAGCGGAAACGACAACAUUGAAUCUUCGGAGGAUUUGUUGGGCGUCGAGCGGCGGACGGGUGAGUAAUGCCCAGGAAAUUGCCUUGAUGUGGGGGAUAACCGUUGGAAACGAUGGCUAAUACCGCAUAAUGCCUACGGGCCAAAGAGGGGGACCUUCGGGCCUCUCGCGUCAAGAUAUGCCUAGGUGGGAUUAGCUAGUUGGUGAGGUAAUGGCUCACCAAGGCGACGAUCCCUAGCUGGUCUGAGAGGAUGAUCAGCCACACUGGAACUGAGACACGGUCCAGACUCCUACGGGAGGCAGCAGUGGGGAAUAUUGCACAAUGGGCGAAAGCCUGAUGCAGCCAUGCCGCGUGUAUGAAGAAGGCCUUCGGGUUGUAAAGUACUUUCAGUUGUGAGGAAGGGUGUGUAGUUAAUAGCUGCGCAUCUUGACGUUAGCAACAGAAGAAGCACCGGCUAACUCCGUGCCAGCAGCCGCGGUAAUACGGAGGGUGCGAGCGUUAAUCGGAAUUACUGGGCGUAAAGCGCAUGCAGGUGGUUCAUUAAGUCAGAUGUGAAAGCCCGGGGCUCAACCUCGGAACUGCAUUUGAAACUGGUGAACUAGAGUGCUGUAGAGGGGGGUAGAAUUUCA
Molecule: ribosomal RNA, 684 nt
Filed under: uncultured Vibrionaceae bacterium
Lineage: Bacteria; Pseudomonadati; Pseudomonadota; Gammaproteobacteria; Vibrionales; Vibrionaceae
Description: bacterial SSU rRNA
Rfam family: Bacterial small subunit ribosomal RNA
Source: RNAcentral